CCCUUAGAUGUUCUGGGCCGCACGCGCGCUACACUGAACAGUUCAACAAGUCUUAACCUUGGCCGAUAGGUCUGGGUAAUCUUUGAACGCUGUUCGUGACUGGGAUAGACCUUUGCAAUUAUGGGUCUUCAACGAGGAAUUCCUAGUAAACGCAAGUCAUCAGCUUGCAUUGAUUACGUCCCUGCCCUUUGUACACACCGCCCGUCGCACCUACCGAUUGAAUGGUCCGGUGAAAUCUCGGGACGGCGGCUUGGUCGCUUGCGUCCGACUGCUGAAACUUGAUUAAACCAUAUCAUUUAGAGGAAGGUGAAGUCGUANCA
RNAcentral lists this ribosomal RNA (320 nucleotides) under uncultured eukaryote. RNAcentral's name for it is "partial 18S ribosomal RNA". It matches the Rfam family "Eukaryotic small subunit ribosomal RNA", at positions 1470 to 1796 of the family's 1831-position model. The record is from RNAcentral.